ACUGCGAAUGGCUCAUUAAAUCAGUUAUCGUUUAUUUGAUAGUACCUUACUACAUGGAUAACCGUGGUAAUUCUAGAGCUAAUACAUGCUAAAAACCUCGACUUCGGAAGGGGUGUAUUUAUUAGAUAAAAAACCAAUGCCCUUCGGGGCUCCUUGGUGAAUCAUAAUAACUUAACGAAUCGCAUGGCCUUGCGCCGGCGAUGGUUCAUUCAAAUUUCUGCCCUAUCAACUUUCGAUGGUAGGAUAGUGGCCUACCAUGGUAUCAACGGGUAACGGGGAAUUAGGGUUCGACUCCGGAGAGGGAGCCUGAGAAACGGCUACCACAUCCAAGGAAGGCAGCAGGCGCGCAAAUUACCCAAUCCCGACACGGGGAGGUAGUGACAAUAAAUACUGAUACAGGGCUCUUUUGGGUCUUGUAAUUGGAAUGAGUACAAUUUAAAUCCCUUAACGAGGAACAAUUGGAGGGCAAGUCUGGUGCCAGCAGCCGCGGUAAUUCCAGCUCCAAUAGCGUAUAUUAAAGUUGUUGCAGUUAAAAAGCUCGUAGUUGAACCUUGGGCCUGGCUGGCCGGUCCGCCUCACCGCGUGUACUGGUCCGGCCGGGCCUUUCCUUCUGGGGAACCUCAUGCCCUUCACUGGGCGUGUUGGGGA
RNAcentral lists this ribosomal RNA (648 nucleotides) under Cladosporium cladosporioides. RNAcentral describes it as "SSU rRNA". It matches the Rfam family "Eukaryotic small subunit ribosomal RNA", at positions 86 to 737 of the family's 1831-position model. The record is from RNAcentral. Lineage: Eukaryota; Fungi; Ascomycota; Dothideomycetes; Cladosporiales; Cladosporiaceae.